This 427-nucleotide ribosomal RNA is filed under the name uncultured bacterium. RNAcentral's name for it is "bacterial SSU rRNA". It matches the Rfam family "Bacterial small subunit ribosomal RNA", at positions 52 to 476 of the family's 1533-position model. The record is from RNAcentral.
CACAUGCAAGUCGAACGGCAGCACGGGCUUCGGCCUGGUGGCGAGUGGCGAACGGGUGAGUAAUACAUCGGAACGUACCCAGAAGUGGGGGAUAACGUAGCGAAAGUUACGCUAAUACCGCAUACGUUCUACGGAAGAAAGUGGGGGAUCGCAAGACCUCAUGCUUUUGGAGCGGCCGAUGUCUGAUUAGCUAGUUGGUGAGGUAAAGGCUCACCAAGGCGACGAUCAGUAGCUGGUCUGAGAGGCGACCAGCCACACUGGAACUGAGACACGGUCCAGACUCCUACGGGAGGCAGCAGUGGGGAAUUUUGGACAAUGGGCGCAAGCCUGAUCCAGCAAUGCCGCGUGAGUGAAGAAGGCCUUCGGGUUGUAAAGCUCUUUUGUCAGGGAAGAAACGGCAGGGGCUAAUAUCCUUUGCUAAGACGGU